UAACGCGAAGAACCUUACCAAGGCUUGACAUACACGAGAACGGGCCAGAAAUGGUCAACUCUUUGGACACUCGUGAACGGGUGGUGCAUGGUUGUCGUCAGCUCGUGUCGUGAGAUGUUGGGUUAAGUCCCGCAACGAGCGCAACCCUCGUUCUAUGUUGCCAGCGCGUAAUGGCGGGAACUCAUAGGAGACUGCCGGGGUCAACUCGGAGGAAGGUGGGGAUGACGUCAAAUCAUCAUGCCCCUUAUGUCUUGGGCUUCACGCAUGCUACAAUGGCCGGUACAAAGGGCUGCAAUACCGUAAGGUGGAGCGAAUCCCAAAAAGCCGGUCUCAGUUCGGAUUGAGGUCUGCAACUCGACCUCAUGAAGUCGGAGUCGCUAGUAAUCGCAGAUCAGCA
RNAcentral lists this ribosomal RNA (397 nucleotides) under uncultured bacterium. Its description in RNAcentral is "bacterial SSU rRNA". It matches the Rfam family "Bacterial small subunit ribosomal RNA", at positions 957 to 1354 of the family's 1533-position model. The record is from RNAcentral.